This 409-nucleotide ribosomal RNA is filed under the name uncultured microorganism. RNAcentral's name for it is "bacterial SSU rRNA". It matches the Rfam family "Bacterial small subunit ribosomal RNA", at positions 509 to 916 of the family's 1533-position model. The record is from RNAcentral.
CAGCCGCCGCGGUAAUACGUAGGGGGCGAGCGUUGUCCGGAAUUAUUGGGCGUAAAGCGCGCGCAGGCGGUCCUUUAAGUCUGAUGUGAAAGCCCACGGCUCAACCGUGGAGGGUCAUUGGAAACUGGGGGACUUGAGUGCAGGAGAGGAGAGCGGAAUUCCACGUGUAGCGGUGAAAUGCGUAGAGAUGUGGAGGAACACCAGUGGCGAAGGCGGCUCUCUGGCCUGUAACUGACGCUGAGGCGCGAAAGCGUGGGGAGCAAACAGGAUUAGAUACCCUGGUAGUCCACGCCGUAAACGAUGAGUGCUAAGUGUUAGAGGGGUCACACCCUUUAGUGCUGCAGCUAACGCGAUAAGCACUCCGCCUGGGGAGUACGGCCGCAAGGCUGAAACUUAAAGGAAUUGGGGG